Molecule: ribosomal RNA, 253 nt
Filed under: uncultured bacterium
Lineage: Bacteria
Description: partial 16S ribosomal RNA
Rfam family: Bacterial small subunit ribosomal RNA
Source: RNAcentral
GACAGAGGGUGCAAACGUUGUUCGGAAUUACUGGGCGUAAAGCGCGUGUAGGCGGCCCUGCAAGUCGGAUGUGAAAUCCCACGGCUCAACCGUGGAAGUGCAUUCGAAACUGCAGGGCUAGAGUCCUGGAGAGGACGGUGGAAUGCUUGGUGUAGAGGUGAAAUUCGUAGAUAUCAAGCGGAACACCGGUGGCGAAGGCGGCCUUCUGGACAGUGACUGACGCUGAGACGCGAAAGCGUGGGGAGCAAACAGG